This 83-nucleotide transfer RNA is filed under the name Candidatus Nitrospira kreftii. RNAcentral's name for it is "tRNA-Met". Lineage: Bacteria; Pseudomonadati; Nitrospirota; Nitrospiria; Nitrospirales; Nitrospiraceae. The record is from RNAcentral.
GUUUGUAGGUAGGGAGGCGAUUUGACUCGUGCCCUUCAUGUGGGGACGGAUACCAGCAGAGAUCGCAUUGCUGCUGCAGACUC